GAGUUUGAUCAUGGCUCAGAUUGAACGCUGGCGGCAUGCCUUACACAUGCAAGUCGAACGGUAACAGGUUAAGCUGACGAGUGGCGAACGGGUGAGUAAUAUAUCGGAACGUGCCCAGUCGUGGGGGAUAACUGCUCGAAAGAGCAGCUAAUACCGCAUACGACCUGAGGGUGAAAGCGGGGGAUCGCAAGACCUCGCGCGAUUGGAGCGGCCGAUAUCAGAUUAGGUAGUUGGUGGGGUAAAGGCCCACCAAGCCAACGAUCUGUAGCUGGUCUGAGAGGACGACCAGCCACACUGGGACUGAGACACGGCCCAGACUCCUACGGGAGGCAGCAGUGGGGAAUUUUGGACAAUGGGCGCAAGCCUGAUCCAGCCAUGCCGCGUGCGGGAAGAAGGCCUUCGGGUUGUAAACCGCUUUUGUCAGGGAAGAAAAGGUUCUGGUUAAUACCUGGGACUCAUGACGGUACCUGAAGAAUAAGCACCGGCUAACUACGUGCCAGCAGCCGCGGUAAUACGUAGGGUGCAAGCGUUAAUCGGAAUUACUGGGCGUAAAGCGUGCGCAGGCGGUUAUGCAAGACAGAGGUGAAAUCCCCGGGCUCAACCUGGGAACUGCCUUUGUGACUGCAUGGCUAGAGUACGGUAGAGGGGGAUGGAAUUCCGCGUGUAGCAGUGAAAUGCGUAGAUAUGCGGAGGAACACCGAUGGCGAAGGCAAUCCCCUGGACCUGUACUGACGCUCAUGCACGAAAGCGUGGGGAGCAAACAGGAUUAGAUACCCUGGUAGUCCACGCCCUAAACGAUGUCAACUGGUUGUUGGGAGGGUUUCUUCUCAGUAACGUAGCUAACGCGUGAAGUUGACCGCCUGGGGAGUACGGCCGCAAGGUUGAAACUCAAAGGAUUGACGGGGACCCGCACAAGCGGUGGAUGAUGUGGUUUAUUCGAUGCAACGCGAAAACCUUACUACCCUUGAMUUGCAGAUCCUGAARAUUGGGGAGUGYYYGAARAAGCCUGUMUCAGGGUGCUGCAUGCCGUSUCAGYYCUGUCCKRAWGUGGUAAGUCUGCACARGCSAACUUUGCUAGUGCUMGAGGCACUCAUGUACKCGGGUACACCCGAUGWAGWGUGGAGU
Molecule: ribosomal RNA, 1125 nt
Filed under: uncultured beta proteobacterium
Lineage: Bacteria; Pseudomonadati; Pseudomonadota; Betaproteobacteria
Description: bacterial SSU rRNA
Source: RNAcentral